This 1322-nucleotide long non-coding RNA is filed under the name Vombatus ursinus (common wombat). RNAcentral describes it as "lncRNA (ENSVURG00010012383.1)". Lineage: Eukaryota; Metazoa; Chordata; Mammalia; Diprotodontia; Vombatidae. The record is from RNAcentral.
AUGAAGACUGAAUUUCCACAUUGCUCAUCAGCAUGUCUUGGAUCCAGAAGACAACCCUUUCAUGCACACACAUACUUAACAUAGAAAUACGUACUACCGCUUCUUUAAUUCUCCACAAAAGGUGUAAUCCUGCACCUUCACUGUCUUAGUAACACCAGGAGAAACCAUGGCCAAGAUGGAGAAGGAAGGGCUGCCCCAAGGUCUUGGUUUUCUUCAGGGAAAGAGGAUGGGGCAUGGCCUGUGGAAAAGAGUAAAGAACCAGAGAGGAACCUCCUCUCCAGAGAGGAGAAGAGCCAAUAGAAAGCCAACAGAGAUCCCCUGAACUACAGGCAUAUUGAAUCAUAAUUAAGGGAAAAAGGAAUAAGUACCCAAUGGGAUAGCAAAUGCAAAGUUUUUGUCAACUAUAAAGUUGUCAUCAUUAUCCCAUCAUCUUCGUCAUCAAGUCAACUCAAGCCUCUCAUCUAUAAAAUGGAAUGGAUUGGAGAAUGGAUUAGAAACUAGAGUCCAACAAUAUGUUGUUUACAAGAGACAUACUCAAAACAGAAAGAUACACACACAGGCGCUGGAGUAGAAUCUAUUAAGCUUCAGUAGAAGUAAAAAAGACAAUCAUGAUCUUACAAAGUAAAAGCAAAAAUAGACCUAAUUAAAAGAGAUAAUUAGGGAAACUACAUUUUGAUAAAAGGUACCAUAGACAAUGAAGUAAUAUCAAAAAAUUUUACAGAAAGUUUCUCUGAUAAAGGCCGUAUUCCUCAAAUAUAUAGGGAACUGAGUCAAAUUUAUAAAAAUAGGUGUCAUUCCUCAAUUAAUAGAUAGCCAAAAGUUACAAACAAGCAGUAGUCAGAAGAAAUCAAAGCUAUCUAUAGUCACAUGAAAAAUGCUCUAAAUCACUAUUAAUUAGAGAAACACAAAUUAAAAUAACUCUGAGGUACCACCUCACACCUAUCAGAAAUGACAAAUACUAGAGGAGAUGAGGGGAAAUAGGUACACUAAUGAAUUGUUGAUGGAGUUGUGAACUGGUGCAAUAAUUCUGGAGAACAAUUUGGAACUAUGCCUAAAGGGCUAAAAAACUGCAUACCUUUGACUCAGCAAUACCCCUAUUAGGUCUGUAUAUCAAAGAGAUCAAAGAAAAAGGAGAAGGACCUAUAUGUACAAAAAUAUUUAUAGCAGCUGUUUUUGUGGUGACAAAGAAAUGGAAAUUGGGGGGUUCCUAAUCAAUUGGGGAAUGACUGAACAAGUUGUGGUAUUUGAUUGUGAUGGAAUAUUAUUGUGCUGUAAGAAAUGAUGAGGUGGAUGGUUGCAGAAAAAAAAAAACCUAGGAAGAU